This 503-nucleotide ribosomal RNA is filed under the name uncultured bacterium. Its description in RNAcentral is "partial 16S ribosomal RNA". It matches the Rfam family "Bacterial small subunit ribosomal RNA", at positions 29 to 523 of the family's 1533-position model. The record is from RNAcentral.
AACGAACGCUGGCGGCACGUUUUAAGCAUGCAAGUCGAACGGCAGUGGGGGCAACCCCAUGAGAGUGGCGAACGGGUGAGUAACACGUAGGUGAUCUGCCUUUGGGUUGGGGAUAGCUUGUGGAAACACAGGGUAAUACCGAAUGAGCUGACGAGGCUUUGGCCAUGUUAGUAAAGGUGCUACGGCACCGCCUAGAGAGGAGCCUGCGGCUGAUUAGCUAGUUGGUGGGGUAAAGGCCUACCAAGGCGGCGAUCAGUAGCAGGCCUGAGAGGGUGUACGGCCACACUGAAACGGAGACCCGGUCCAGACUCCUACGGGAGGCAGCAGUUAAGAAUCUUCCGCAAUGGGCGAAAGCCUGACGGAGCGAUGCCGCGUGAUCGAUGAAGGUCGAGAGAUUGUAAAGAUAUUUUCCAACUGAGGAAUAAGUGGACCAGGGAAUGGGUUCAUGAUGACGUUAAGUUGGGAGUAAGCCCCGGCUAAUUACGUGCCAGCCGCCGCAGUAA